UUAAGCGACUAAGCGUACACGGUGGAUGCCCUGGCAGUCAGAGGCGAUGAAGGACGUGCUAAUCUGCGAUAAGCGUCGGUAAGGUGAUAUGAACCGUUAUAACCGGCGAUUUCCGAAUGGGGAAACCCAGUGUGAUUCGUCACACUAUCAUUAACUGAAUCCAUAGGUUAAUGAGGCGAACCGGGGGAACUGAAACAUCUAAGUACCCCGAGGAAAAGAAAUCAACCGAGAUUCCCCCAGUAGCGGCGAGCGAACGGGGAGCAGCCCAGAGCCUGAAUCAGUGUGUGUGUUAGUGGAAGCGUCUGGAAAGGCGUGCGAUACAGGGUGACAGCCCCGUACACAAAAAUGCACAUGCUGUGAGCUCGAUGAGUAGGGCGGGACACGUGGUAUCCUGUCUGAAUAUGGGGGGACCAUCCUCCAAGGCUAAAUACUCCUGACUGACCGAUAGUGAACCAGUACCGUGAGGGAAAGGCGAAAAGAACCCCGGCGAGGGGAGUGAAAAAGAACCUGAAACCGUGUACGUACAAGCAGUGGGAGCACAGAGCAAUCUGUGUGACUGCGUACCUUUUGUAUAAUGGGUCAGCGACUUAUAUUCUGUAGCAAGGUUAACCGAAUAGGGGAGCCGAAGGGAAACCGAGUCUUAACUGGGCGUUAAGUUGCAGGGUAUAGACCCGAAACCCGGUGAUCUAGCCAUGGGCAGGUUGAAGGUUGGGUAACACUAACUGGAGGACCGAACCGACUAAUGUUGAAAAAUUAGCGGAUGACUUGUGGCUGGGGGUGAAAGGCCAAUCAAACCGGGAGAUAGCUGGUUCUCCCCGAAAGCUAUUUAGGUAGCGCCUCGUGAAUUCAUCUCCGGGGGUAGAGCACUGUUUCGGCAAGGGGGUCAUCCCGACUUACCAACCCGAUGCAAACUGCGAAUACCGGAGAAUGUUAUCACGGGAGACACACGGCGGGUGCUAACGUCCGUCGUGAAGAGGGAAACAACCCAGACCGCCAGCUAAGGUCCCAAAGUCAUGGUUAAGUGGGAAACGAUGUGGGAAGGCCCAGACAGCCAGGAUGUUGGCUUAGAAGCAGCCAUCAUUUAAAGAAAGCGUAAUAGCUCACUGGUCGAGUCGGCCUGCGCGGAAGAUGUAACGGGGCUAAACCAUGCACCGAAGCUGCGGCAGCGACGCUUAUGCGUUGUUGGGUAGGGGAGCGUUCUGUAAGCCUGCGAAGGUGUGCUGUGAGGCAUGCUGGAGGUAUCAGAAGUGCGAAUGCUGACAUAAGUAACGAUAAAGCGGGUGAAAAGCCCGCUCGCCGGAAGACCAAGGGUUCCUGUCCAACGUUAAUCGGGGCAGGGUGAGUCGACCCCUAAGGCGAGGCCGAAAGGCGUAGUCGAUGGGAAACAGGUUAAUAUUCCUGUACUUGGUGUUACUGCGAAGGGGGGACGGAGAAGGCUAUGUUGGCCGGGCGACGGUUGUCCCGGUUUAAGCGUGUAGGCUGGUUUUCCAGGCAAAUCCGGAAAAUCAAGGCUGAGGCGUGAUGACGAGGCACUACGGUGCUGAAGCAACAAAUGCCCUGCUUCCAGGAAAAGCCUCUAAGCAUCAGGUAACAUCAAAUCGUACCCCAAACCGACACAGGUGGUCAGGUAGAGAAUACCAAGGCGCUUGAGAGAACUCGGGUGAAGGAACUAGGCAAAAUGGUGCCGUAACUUCGGGAGAAGGCACGCUGAUAUGUAGGUGAAGCGACUUGCUCGUGGAGCUGAAAUCAGUCGAAGAUACCAGCUGGCUGCAACUGUUUAUUAAAAACACAGCACUGUGCAAACACGAAAGUGGACGUAUACGGUGUGACGCCUGCCCGGUGCCGGAAGGUUAAUUGAUGGGGUCAGCGCAAGCGAAGCUCUUGAUCGAAGCCCCGGUAAACGGCGGCCGUAACUAUAACGGUCCUAAGGUAGCGAAAUUCCUUGUCGGGUAAGUUCCGACCUGCACGAAUGGCGUA
This 1977-nucleotide ribosomal RNA is filed under the name human gut metagenome. RNAcentral describes it as "bacterial LSU rRNA". It matches the Rfam family "Bacterial large subunit ribosomal RNA", at positions 1 to 2003 of the family's 2925-position model. The record is from RNAcentral.